UACGUAGGGGGCGAGCGUUGUCCGGAUUCAUUGGGCGUAAAGGGCGCGCAGGCGGCCGGGCAGGUCGCGCGUGCAAGCUCCGGGCUCAACCCGGAGAGGCCGCGCGAAACCGUCGGGCUGGAGGCCGGCAGGGGGGAGCGGAAUUCCCGGUGUAGUGGUGGAAUGCGUAGAGAUCGGGAGGAACGCCGGUGGCGAAGGCGGCUCCCUGGGCCGGCCCUGACGCUGAGGCGCGAAAGCGUGGGGAGCGAUCCGG
This 253-nucleotide ribosomal RNA is filed under the name uncultured bacterium. RNAcentral describes it as "partial 16S ribosomal RNA". It matches the Rfam family "Bacterial small subunit ribosomal RNA", at positions 524 to 776 of the family's 1533-position model. The record is from RNAcentral.